CAUGGGAGUGGGUUGCAAAAGAAGUAGGUAGCUUAACCUUCGGGAGGGCGCUUACCACUUUGUGAUUCAUGACUGGGGUGAAGUCGUAACAAGGUAACCGUAGGGGAACCUGCGGUUGGAUCACCUCCUUA
RNAcentral lists this ribosomal RNA (131 nucleotides) under Citrobacter freundii. RNAcentral's name for it is "partial 16S ribosomal RNA". It matches the Rfam family "Bacterial small subunit ribosomal RNA", at positions 1403 to 1533 of the family's 1533-position model. The record is from RNAcentral. RNAcentral also lists the same sequence under 6 other names. Lineage: Bacteria; Pseudomonadati; Pseudomonadota; Gammaproteobacteria; Enterobacterales; Enterobacteriaceae.